AAGUCGUAACAAGGUUUCCGUAGGUGAACCUGCGGAAGGAUCAUUACAGUGGAUUGAGUUCUCUUCGGAGGAUGAAACACCCGACCUCUUGUCAUUUGUCACCGCUGGGGAAGGGAGAUGUGGUCAAACUGCGGUUACCCGGAGACGGGUGGCUGGAGGGCGGUCCUCUCCGCCUUGGCGGAUUUUCUUUCGGCGGAAGAGGUAGGCUUUGACCUGCCCGCCGCCGGCCGUAACCUUUUACUCUUAUGAGAAUCUGAAGUCUGAAGAAAACACAAAAACGAAAAGCAAAACUUUUAACAACGGAUCUCUUGGCUCUG
The sequence is an unclassified non-coding RNA, 317 nucleotides long. The stretch from base 1 to 46 matches the Rfam family "Eukaryotic small subunit ribosomal RNA", at positions 1786 to 1831 of the family's 1831-position model.